UGGGGAAUAUUGGACAAUGGGCGCAAGCCUGAUCCAGCCAUGCCGCGUGAGUGAUGAAGGCCCUAGGGUUGUAAAGCUCUUUCACCGGUGAAGAUAAUGACGGUAACCGGAGAAGAAGCCCCGGCUAACUUCGUGCCAGCAGCCGCGGUAAUACGAAGGGGGCUAGCGUUGUUGGGAUUUACUGGGCGUAAAGCGCACGUAGGCGGACUAUUAAGUCAGGGGUGAAAUCCCGGGGCUCAACCCCGGAACUGCCUUUGAUACUGGUAGUCUUGAGUUCGAGAGAGGUGAGUGGAAUUCCGAGUGUAGAGGUGAAAUUCGUAGAUAUUCGGAGGAACACCAGUGGCGAAGGCGGCUCACUGGCUCGAUACUGACGCUGAGGUGCGAAAGCGUGGGGAGCAAACAGG
RNAcentral lists this ribosomal RNA (404 nucleotides) under Actinomycetes bacterium. RNAcentral's name for it is "Actinobacteria bacterium partial 16S ribosomal RNA". It matches the Rfam family "Bacterial small subunit ribosomal RNA", at positions 355 to 776 of the family's 1533-position model. The record is from RNAcentral. Lineage: Bacteria; Bacillati; Actinomycetota; Actinomycetes.